AUUGAACGCUGGCGGAAUGCUUUACACAUGCAAGUCGAACGGUAGAGGGGGCAACCCCUCGAGAGUGGCGAACGGGUGAGUAAUAUAUCGGAACGUGCCCAGUCGUGGGGGAUAACGUAGCGAAAGUUACGCUAAUACCGCAUACGAUCUAAGGAUGAAAGCGGGGGAUCGCAAGACCUCGCGCGAUUGGAGCGGCCGAUAUCUGAUUCGGUAGUUGGUGGGGUAAAGGCUCACCAAGCCAACGAUCUGUAGCUGGUCUGAGAGGCCGACCAGCCACACUGGAACUGAGACACGGUCCAGACUCCUACGGGAGGCAGCAGUGGGGAAUUUUGGACAAUGGACGCAAGUCUGAUCCAGCCAUUCCGCGUGCAGGAUGAAGGCCCUCGGGUUGUAAACUGCUUUUGUACGGAACGGAAAGGUCUCUCUUAAUACGGGGGGCUCAUGACGGUACCGUAAGAAUAAGCACCGGCUAACUACGUGCCAGCCGCCGCCGUAA
This 496-nucleotide ribosomal RNA is filed under the name uncultured bacterium. RNAcentral's name for it is "partial 16S ribosomal RNA". It matches the Rfam family "Bacterial small subunit ribosomal RNA", at positions 30 to 523 of the family's 1533-position model. The record is from RNAcentral.